CUCCGGUUGAUCCUGCCGGACCCGACUGCUAUCAGAGUGGGACUAAGCCAUGCGAGUCAACAUAGCAAUAUGUGGCAUACGGCUCAGUAACACGUAGUCAACAUGCCCAGGGGACGUGGAUAACCUCGGGAAACUGAGGAUAAACCGCGAUAGGUCAUCACUUCUGGAAUGGGUAAUGACUUAAAUCUAUAUGGCCCCUGGAUUGGACUGCGGCCGAUCAGGCUGUUGGUGAGGUAAUGGCCCACCAAACCUGUAACCGGUACGGGCUCUGAGAGGAGGAGCCCGGAGAUGGGCACUGAGACAAGGGCCCAGGCCCUAUGGGGCGCAGCAGGCGCGAAACCUCUGCAAUAGGCGAAAGCUUGACAGGGUUACUCUGAGUGAUUUCCGUUAAGGAGAUCUUUUGGCACCUCUAAAAAUGGUGCAGAAUAAGGGGUGGGCAAGUCUGGUGUCAGCCGCCGCGGUAAUACCAGCACCCCGAGUGGUCGGGACGUUUAUUGGGCCUAAAGCAUCCGUAGCCGGUUCUACAAGUCUUCCGUUAAAUCCACCUGCUUAACAGAUGGGCUGCGGAAGAUACUAUAGAGCUAGGAGGCGGGAGAGGCAAGCGGUACUCGAUGGGUAGGGGUAAAAUCCGUUGAUCCAUUGAAGACCACCAGUGGCGAAGGCGGCUUGCCAGAACGCGCUCGACGGUGAGGGAUGAAAGCUGGGGGAGCAAACCGGAUUAGAUACCCGGGUAGUCCCAGCUGUAAACGAUGCAGACUCGGUGAUGAGUUGGCUUAUUGCUAACUCAGUGCCGCAGGGAAGCCGUUAAGUUUGCCACCUGGGGAGUACGGUCGCAAGACUGAAACUUAAAGGAAUUGGCGGGGGAGCA
This 868-nucleotide ribosomal RNA is filed under the name uncultured archaeon. RNAcentral describes it as "bacterial SSU rRNA". It matches the Rfam family "Archaeal small subunit ribosomal RNA", at positions 1 to 878 of the family's 1478-position model. The record is from RNAcentral.